UACGUAGGGGGCAAGCGUUGUCCGGAUUUAUUGGGCGUAAAGAGCGUGUAGGCGGUCAGGUAGGUCCGUUGUGAAAACUCGAGGCUCAACCUCGAGACGUCGGCGGAAACCCUCUGGCUAGAGUCCGGAAGAGGAGAGUGGAAUUCCUGGUGUAGCGGUGAAAUGCGCAGAUAUCAGGAAGAACACCCGUGGCGAAGGCGGCUCUCUGGGACGGUACUGACGCUGAGACGCGAAAGCGUGGGGAGCAAACAGG
Molecule: ribosomal RNA, 253 nt
Filed under: uncultured bacterium
Lineage: Bacteria
Description: partial 16S ribosomal RNA
Rfam family: Bacterial small subunit ribosomal RNA
Source: RNAcentral